UCAGUAACACGUAGUCAACAUGCCCAGGGACGUGGAUAACCUCGGGAAACUGAGGAUAAACCGCGAUAGGUCAUCACUUCUGGAAUGGGUAAUGACUUAAAUCUACAUGGCCCCUGGAUUGGACUGCGGCCGAUCAGGCUGUUGGUGAGGUAAUGGCCCACCAAACCUGUAACCGGUACGGGCUCUGAGAGGAGGAGCCCGGAGAUGGGCACUGAGACAAUGGGCCCAGGCCCUAUGGGGCGCAGCAGGCGCGAAAUCUCUGCAAUAGGCGAAAGCUUGACAGGGUUACUCUGAGUGAUUCCCGCUAAGGGGAUCUUUUGGCACCUUUAAAAAUGGUGCAGAAUAAGGGGUGGGCAAGUCUGGUGCCAGCC
RNAcentral lists this ribosomal RNA (371 nucleotides) under unidentified archaeon. RNAcentral describes it as "bacterial SSU rRNA". It matches the Rfam family "Archaeal small subunit ribosomal RNA", at positions 90 to 463 of the family's 1478-position model. The record is from RNAcentral.